GUAAGCUACUAAGAGCGAAUGGUGGAUGCCUUGACUGGUAAAGGCGAUGAAGGACGUACUAGACUGCGAUAAGCUACGGGGAGCUGUCAAGAAGCUUUGAUCCGUAGAUUUCCGAAUGGGGCAACCCAAUGUAUAGAGAUAUACAUUACCUAUAUAGGAGCGAACGAGGGGAAUUGAAACAUCUUAGUACCCUCAGGAAAAGAAAUCAAUAGAGAUUGCGUCAGUAGCGGCGAGCGAAAGCGCAAGAGGGCAAACCCAGUGCUUGCACUGGGGGUUGUAGGACUGCAAUGUGCAAGAGGUAAGUUUAGCAGAACAUUCUGGAAAGUAUAACCAUAGAGGGUGAUAGUCCCGUAUGCGAAAAACAAACCUUAGCUAGCAGUAUCCUGAGUAGGGCGGGACACGAGGAAUCCUGUCUGAAUCCGGGUCGACCACGAUCCAACCCUAAAUACUAAUACCAGAUCGAUAGUGCACAAGUACCGUGAGGGAAAGGUGAAAAGAACUGAGGUGAUCAGAGUGAAAUAGAACCUGAAACCAUUUGCUUACAAUCAUUCAGAGCCCUAUGUAGCAAUACAGGGUGAUGGACUGCCUUUUGCAUAAUGAGCCUGCGAGUUGUGGUGUCUGGCAAGGUUAAGCAAACGCGAAGCCGUAGCGAAAGCGAGUCUGAAUAGGGCGCUUAGUCAGAUGCUGCAGACCCGAAACGAAGUGAUCUAUCCAUGAGCAAGUUGAAGCUAGUGUAAGAACUAGUGGAGGACUGAACCCAUAGGCGUUGAAAAGCCCCGGGAUGACUUGUGGAUAGGGGUGAAAGGCCAAUCAAACUUCGUGAUAGCUGGUUCUCUCCGAAAUAUAUUUAGGUAUAGCGUUGUGUCGUAAUAUAAGGGGGUAGAGCACUGAAUGGGCUAGGGCAUACACCAAUGUACCAAACCCUAUCAAACUCCGAAUACCUUAUAUGUAAUCACAGCAGUCAGGCGGCGAGUGAUAAAAUCCGUCGUCAAGAGGGAAACAACCCAGACUACCAGCUAAGGUCCCUAAAUCUUACUUAAGUGGAAAACGAUGUGAAGUUACUUAAACAACCAGGAGGUUGGCUUAGAAGCAGCCAUCCUUUAAAGAAAGCGUAAUAGCUCACUGGUCUAGUGAUUUUGCGCGGAAAAUAUAACGGGGCUAAAGUAAGUACCGAAGCUGUAGACUUGCACACAACUUAGAUUAUUUAAGUUUAGAAUAUGAGAAACUAAGUUAUAUGUUUAGUUAUAUUUUUACUGAUUUUUAUAGAGUAAAGAUAGAAAUAAAACUUAGUAAAAUCAGUAAAAAUAUUCUUAGACUAAAGUUAAGUAGUUUAAGUUGUGUGCAAGUGGUAGGAGAGCGUUCUAUUUGCGUCGAAGGUAUACCGGUAAGGAGUGCUGGAGCGAAUAGAAGUGAGCAUGCAGGCAUGAGUAGCGAUAAUUAAUGUGAGAAUCAUUAACGCCGUAAACCCAAGGUUUCCUACGCGAUGCUCGUCAUCGUAGGGUUAGUCGGGUCCUAAGUCGAGUCCGAAAGGGGUAGACGAUGGCAAAUUGGUUAAUAUUCCAAUACCAACAUUAGUGUGCGAUGGAAGGACGCUUAGGGCUAAGGGGGCUAGCGGAUGGAAGUGCUAGUCUAAGGUCGUAGGAGGUUGUACAGGCAAAUCCGUAUAACAAUACUCCGAGAACUGAAAGGCUUUUUGAAGUCUUCGGAUGGAUAGAAGAACCCCUGAUGCCGUCGAGCCAAGAAAAGUUUCUAAGUUUAGCUAAUGUUGCCCGUACCGUAAACCGACACAGGUGGGUGGGAUGAGUAUUCUAAGGCGCGUGGAAGAACUCUCUUUAAGGAACUCUGCAAAAUAGCACCGUAUCUUCGGUAUAAGGUGUGGUUAGCUUUGUAUUAGGAUUUACUCCGAAAGCAAGGAAACUUACAACAAAGAGUCCCUCCCGACUGUUUACCAAAAACACAGCACUCUGCUAACUCGUAAGAGGAUGUAUAGGGUGUGACGCCUGCCCGGUGCUCGAAGGUUAAUUGAUGGGGUUAGCAUUAGCGAAGCUCUUGAUCGAAGCCCGAGUAAACGGCGGCCGUAACUAUAACGGUCCUAAGGUAGCGAAAUUCCUUGUCGGUUAAAUACCGACCUGCAUGAAUGGCGUAACGAGAUGGGAGCUGUCUCAAAGAGGGAUCCAGUGAAAUUGUAGUGGAGGUGAAAAUUCCUCCUACCCGCGGCAAGACGGAAAGACCCCGUGGACCUUUACUACAGCUUGACACUGCUACUUGGAUAAGAAUGUGCAGGAUAGGUGGGAGGCUUUGAGUAUAUGACGCCAGUUGUAUAUGAGCCAUUGUUGAGAUACCACUCUUUCUUAUUUGGGUAGCUAACCAGCUUGAGUUAUCCUCAAGUGGGACAAUGUCUGGUGGGUAGUUUGACUGGGGCGGUCGCCUCCCAAAUAAUAACGGAGGCUUACAAAGGUUGGCUCAGAACGGUUGGAAAUCGUUCGUAGAGUAUAAAGGUAUAAGCCAGCUUAACUGCAAGACAUACAAGUCAAGCAGAGACGAAAGUCGGUCUUAGUGAUCCGGUGGUUCUGUGUGGAAGGGCCAUCGCUCAAAGGAUAAAAGGUACCCCGGGGAUAACAGGCUGAUCUCCCCCAAGAGCUCACAUCGACGGGGAGGUUUGGCACCUCGAUGUCGGCUCAUCGCAUCCUGGGGCUGGAGCAGGUCCCAAGGGUAUGGCUGUUCGCCAUUUAAAGCGGUACGCGAGCUGGGUUCAGAACGUCGUGAGACAGUUCGGUCCCUAUCUGCCGUGGGCGUAAGAAGAUUGAAGAGAUUUGACCCUAGUACGAGAGGACCGGGUUGAACAAACCACUGGUGUAGCUGUUGUUCUGCCAAGAGCAUCGCAGCGUAGCUAAGUUUGGAAAGGAUAAACGCUGAAAGCAUCUAAGCGUGAAGCCA
RNAcentral lists this ribosomal RNA (2937 nucleotides) under Campylobacter jejuni. RNAcentral's name for it is "23S ribosomal RNA". It matches the Rfam family "Bacterial large subunit ribosomal RNA". The record is from RNAcentral. Lineage: Bacteria; Pseudomonadati; Campylobacterota; Epsilonproteobacteria; Campylobacterales; Campylobacteraceae.